ACCUAAAUAGCUUAAAUAGAGUAUAACACUGAAGAUGUUAGGGAAAUAGUUUUAUUUUUAGGUA
This 64-nucleotide transfer RNA is filed under the name Chorthippus fallax. Its description in RNAcentral is "tRNA-Phe". The record is from RNAcentral. Lineage: Eukaryota; Metazoa; Arthropoda; Insecta; Orthoptera; Acrididae.